UGGGGAAUAUUGCACAAUGGAGGGAACUCUGAUGCCGCGACGCCGCGUGAGUGAUGAAGGAAUUCGUUUCGUAAAACUCUGUUCUAUGGGAAGAAAAGGACUGUACCAUAGGAGAAAGCUCCGGCUAAAUACGUGCCAGCAGCCGCGGUAAUACGUAUGGAGCGAGCGUUGUCCGGAUUUAUUGGGCGUAAAGGGUGCGCAGGCGGCUUUACAAGUUGGAUGUGAAAUAUUGUGGCUCAACCACAAACGUGCAUCCAAAACUGCAAAGUUGGGGGUAAGGAGAGGUAAGUGGAAUUCCUGGUGUAGCGGUGGAAUGCGUAGAUAUCGGGAGGAAUACCGGUGGCGAAGGCGACUUACUGGACUUAACCUGACGCUCAGGCACGAAGGCGUGGGGAGCAAACGGG
Molecule: ribosomal RNA, 404 nt
Filed under: Fusobacteriota bacterium
Lineage: Bacteria; Fusobacteriati; Fusobacteriota
Description: Fusobacteria bacterium partial 16S ribosomal RNA
Rfam family: Bacterial small subunit ribosomal RNA
Source: RNAcentral